Molecule: ribosomal RNA, 236 nt
Filed under: uncultured Acaulosporaceae
Lineage: Eukaryota; Fungi; Glomeromycota; Glomeromycetes; Diversisporales; Acaulosporaceae
Description: partial 18S ribosomal RNA
Rfam family: Eukaryotic small subunit ribosomal RNA
Source: RNAcentral
AGCAGCCGCGGUAAUUCCAGCUCCAAUAGCGUAUAUUAAAGUUGUUGCAGUUAAAAAGCUCGUAGUUGAAUUUCGGGAUUUGUCCAUUGGUCGGGCCUCACGGUCCGUACUGGUGUGAUGGGUUCCUACCUUCUGAAUAACCGGCAUGCCAUUUAGUUGGUGCGCCGGGGGAGCAGAGCUAUUACCUUGAAAAAAUUAGAGUGCUUAAAGCAGGCUAUUGCUUGAAUAGAUUAGCA